Molecule: long non-coding RNA, 583 nt
Organism: Drosophila miranda
Lineage: Eukaryota; Metazoa; Arthropoda; Insecta; Diptera; Drosophilidae
Exons: 2
Source: RefSeq, a predicted model, not a curated record
GCUGUUUGCUGCUGUUUAGCUGUACAAGUAUUUUUACACUUACGUAAAACUCAAAUGCCGGCAAUACGAAAGUCGUUAAUUUUACUUGUUAUAAGUUAAUAGUUUUAUUUUCGUUAUCAUGACAGUUGAAAGCAAACAGACAGACAGGCAGAGCGGCCCAGAGGCAGACAGAGAGAGAAAGAAAGAGAGAGGCAGGGAAGAGAUGAGAUUGCACUUGGUUGUUGCACAACCUUUGCAACCAGGCGCGUGUUGUUCGUUAACACUCCAGCUCCGGCCAACAGCCUCUCCUUCACCCUCUCCAGCCAUGCGGAUUCAAUCAAAUAUCCAAAUCGCAGACGGAUCUGUGGAAUGUUUCAGGUCUGCACAGCCCCCCAUUUACAGCAACAUAAACAAGCGUUCUCUCUCCUUAAUAUAAUUCACCUUGGACGGCCCCCCGAAUAGAAGAAAAAUCCACACACAAAUUACAGGGCAAACUGAUAAAGCAACAAGAGCCAGAAUUCAAAGAGUUGUCGACGGCUGAGAUUGAUAAAUAAAUUGAAUUCCAUUCCAGUCUGCGAGAGAUAUUUUUGAAUGACACAAUCAA